Molecule: ribosomal RNA, 425 nt
Filed under: uncultured bacterium
Lineage: Bacteria
Description: bacterial SSU rRNA
Rfam family: Bacterial small subunit ribosomal RNA
Source: RNAcentral
UCGGGAAUUUUGGGCAAUGGGCGAAAGCCUGACCCAGCAACGCCGCGUGAAGGAUGAAGUCUUUCGGGAUGUAAACUUCGGAAGGAUGGGAAGAAUAAUUUUAGGUCAAUACCUUGAAAGAUGACGGUACCAUCUUUAAGCCCCGGCUAACUACGUGCCAGCAGCCGCGGUAAUACGUAGGGGGCAAGCGUUGUUCGGAUUUACUGGGCGUAAAGGGCGCGUAGGCGGCGUGGUAAGUCACUUGUGAAAUCUCCGGGCUCAACUCGGAACGGUCAAGUGAUACUGCUGCGCUAGAGUGCGGAAGGGGCUACUGGAAUUCUCGGUGUAGCGGUGAAAUGCGUAGAUAUCGAGAGGAACACCUGAGGCGAAGGCGGGUAGCUGGGCCGACACUGACGCUGAGGCGCGAAAGCUAGGGGAGCGAACGG